Podarcis lilfordi (Lilford's wall lizard) is the source of this 213-nucleotide non-coding RNA. Lineage: Eukaryota; Metazoa; Chordata; Lepidosauria; Squamata; Lacertidae. The record is from the annotation of a GenBank genome assembly.
GCCUGAGAGUGUGGUAGCAUUCUCUUACUGGGGGCAUCAGGCAGUCACACUGGUGUGGUACUGAGCAGAUAACUGAUGCCUGCCUCCAAAUGCACAGAAAUCACUACCUUAUUUUUGAGACGCUCUGUUUUGCUUCCAAAUUGAUAUGUGAUAAACCACACAAUGAUAUCACAUUGAUAUGUGAUAAACCACACAAGUUCCCUCUUUAAGGGA